GGCGCGAUAGCCAAGCGGUCAGGCACGGGUCUGCAAAACCUGUUAGACCGGUUCAACUCCGGUUCGCGCCUCCA
This 74-nucleotide transfer RNA is filed under the name Lentisphaerota bacterium. RNAcentral describes it as "Lentisphaerae bacterium (groundwater metagenome) tRNA-Cys". It matches the Rfam family "tRNA". From Rfam's summary of the family: Transfer RNA (tRNA) molecules are approximately 80 nucleotides in length. The record is from RNAcentral. Lineage: Bacteria; Pseudomonadati; Lentisphaerota.